Molecule: ribosomal RNA, 119 nt
Filed under: Pteropus alecto (black flying fox)
Lineage: Eukaryota; Metazoa; Chordata; Mammalia; Chiroptera; Pteropodidae
Source: RNAcentral
CACUAUGGCCAUGCCACCUUGAACAAGCCUGAUCUCGUCUGAUCUCAGAAGCUAAGCAGAGUUGGGCCUGGUUAGUACUUGGAUAGGAGACCACCUAGAAAUACCAGGUGCUAUAGGCU